This 369-nucleotide ribosomal RNA is filed under the name uncultured fungus. Its description in RNAcentral is "bacterial SSU rRNA". It matches the Rfam family "Bacterial small subunit ribosomal RNA", at positions 107 to 464 of the family's 1533-position model. Lineage: Eukaryota; Fungi. The record is from RNAcentral.
UGCGUAACACGUAGCUACCUAGGCUCCGAAGUUGGGGAUAGCUCGGCGAAAGCCGGAUUAAUACCAUAAUGUGAUCCGUGAGAUCAAAUGCUGGGGAUCGUAAGACUGGCGCUCUUGAGUAUGGGGCUGCGGCUAUCAGCUAGAUUGUGAGGUAACGGUCACCAAGGCUUACCACGGGUAGUCUGGUCUGAGAAGGACGUACCAGCCACAGCUGGAACUGAGACACGGUCCAGACCACUAUACGGGUGGUAGCAGUCGAGGAUUUUCUCUCAAUGGGGGAAACCCUGAAGGAGCGACGCCGGCGUGAAGGGAUGAAGGUCUUCGGAUUGUAAACCUCUGUCAUCUGGGAACAAAAGUGCUCCCACCUAA